GGUUCGAGGUGGAAGUGUGGUGACACAUGGAGCUGACGAAUACUAAUCGAUCGAGGACUUAACCAAA
RNAcentral lists this ribosomal RNA (67 nucleotides) under Lysinibacillus sp. BW-2-10. Its description in RNAcentral is "partial 23S ribosomal RNA". Lineage: Bacteria; Bacillati; Bacillota; Bacilli; Caryophanales; Bacillaceae. The record is from RNAcentral.